AAAGGAAUUGACGGGUCCCCGCACAAGCAGCGGAGCGUGUGGUUUAAUUCGUUGCUACACGAAGAACCUUACCUGGGUUUGACAUAGCAGUGGUAGGGAAGCGAAAGCGGACCGACCCUUCGGGGAGCUGUUACAGGUGUUGCAUGGCUGUCGUCAGCUCGUGUCGUGAGAUGUUCGGUUAAGUCCGCUAACGAGCGCAACCCGCGUUGUGUGUUACAAGUGUCACACAAUACCGCCGGUAUUAAGUCGGAGGAAGGUGCGGAUGACGUCAAGUCAGCAUGACCUUUAUAUCCAGGGCUACACACACGCUACAAUGGUCAGCACAAUAGGUUGCCAAGUCGUGAGACGGAGCCAAUCCUCCAAAGCUGGCCUCAGUUCAGAUUGCAGGCUGCAACUCGCCUGCAUGAAGUCGGAGUUGCUAGUAACCGCAGGUCAGCUAUACUGCGGUGAAUACGUUCCCGGGGAUUGUACACACCGCCCGU
Molecule: ribosomal RNA, 482 nt
Filed under: uncultured bacterium
Lineage: Bacteria
Description: bacterial SSU rRNA
Rfam family: Bacterial small subunit ribosomal RNA
Source: RNAcentral